GGGGUUGUGGCUCAGUGGUAAAGCACUUGCUUAGCAUGUAUGAAGCACUGGGUUCGAUCCUCAGCACCA
This 69-nucleotide transfer RNA is filed under the name Ictidomys tridecemlineatus (thirteen-lined ground squirrel). Its description in RNAcentral is "Spermophilus tridecemlineatus (thirteen-lined ground squirrel) tRNA". It matches the Rfam family "tRNA". Rfam says of the family: Transfer RNA (tRNA) molecules are approximately 80 nucleotides in length. Their secondary structure includes four short double-helical elements and three loops (D, anti-codon, and T loops). The record is from Rfam by way of RNAcentral. Lineage: Eukaryota; Metazoa; Chordata; Mammalia; Rodentia; Sciuridae.